Molecule: ribosomal RNA, 300 nt
Filed under: uncultured Pyrobaculum sp.
Lineage: Archaea; Thermoproteati; Thermoproteota; Thermoprotei; Thermoproteales; Thermoproteaceae
Description: bacterial SSU rRNA
Rfam family: Bacterial small subunit ribosomal RNA
Source: RNAcentral
ACUAAGCCCGGGCCAGCGGCGGCGGGAAGACGGAUGUGGCAGUGGUUAAACGGAAUUAGUGGGCGUAAAGCAUGCGCAGUCGGCUUAUUAAGUCAGAUGUGAAAUCCCUAGGCUGAACCUAGGAACUGCAUUUGAAACUAAUAAACUAGAGUAUCGUAGAGGGAGGGAGAAUGCCAGGUGUAGCGGUGAAAUGCGUAGAUAUCUGGAGGAAUACCAGUGGCGAAGGCGACCUCCUGGACGAAAACUGACGCUCAAGCACGAAAGCAUGGGGAGCAAACAGGAUUAGAUACCCCAGUAGUC